RNAcentral lists this ribosomal RNA (524 nucleotides) under uncultured Pseudomonadota bacterium. RNAcentral describes it as "bacterial SSU rRNA". It matches the Rfam family "Bacterial small subunit ribosomal RNA", at positions 199 to 705 of the family's 1533-position model. Lineage: Bacteria; Pseudomonadati; Pseudomonadota. The record is from RNAcentral.
GACCAAAGAGGGGGACCUUCGGGCCUCUUGCCAUCGGAUGUGCCCAGAUGGGAUUAGCUUGUUGGUGGGGUAACGGCUCACCAAGGCGACGAUCCCUAGCUGGUCUGAGAGGAUGACCAGCCACACUGGAACUGAGACACGGUCCAGACUCCUACGGGAGGCAGCAGUGGGGAAUAUUGCACAAUGGGCGCAAGCCUGAUGCAGCCAUGCCGCGUGUAUGAAGAAGGCCUUCGGGUUGUAAAGUACUUUCAGCGGGGAGGAAGGGAGUAAAGUUAAUACCUUUGCUCAUUGACGUUACCCGCAGAAGAAGCACCGGCUAACUCCGUGCCAGCAGCCGCGGUAAUACGGAGGGUGCAAGCGUUAAUCGGAAUUACUGGGCGUAAAGCGCACGCAGGCGGUUUGUUAAGUCAGAUGUGAAUCCCCGGGCUCAACCUGGGAACUGCAUCUGAUACUGGCAAGCUUGAGUCUCGUAGAGGGGGGUAGAAUUCCAGGUGUAGCGGUGAAAUGCGUAGAGAUCUGGAGGA